RNAcentral lists this long non-coding RNA (652 nucleotides) under Callithrix jacchus (white-tufted-ear marmoset). Its description in RNAcentral is "lncRNA (ENSCJAG00000076768.1)". Lineage: Eukaryota; Metazoa; Chordata; Mammalia; Primates; Cebidae. The record is from RNAcentral.
AUUUUUUGAGACAGGUUCUCAUUCUCUCACCUAGGCUGGAGUGCUAUAGCAUGAACAUGGCUCACUGCAGCCUUGACCUCCUGAGCUCAAGUGACCCUACCACCUCACCUCCUGAGUAGCUGGGGCCACAGGAUUCCAUUUGGAAUUGUGACUCUGACUGCCUCUAGAACGUGUUGCAUCUGGAAAAUUCACCAAGACUCAAACCAAGACAGAGAAGAACAUGAAUAUGGAAUGAUGAGGAUGUGGCGUAAAUGGAUGUGGACACUGAAGCAGGAUGAACGUCAAGAGGCUCACCCUGGGGUCACAUCCAGCACAGCAGGGAUUAAAAUCCACCGACUUCACAUUUCUAGCCUAUCACUUGCCCUGCCAGCUUACCGUCCACGCUGUCAGGAACAGAAGUCUGGCCGCCUCAUGUGAUUAAGUGUGAAUGUACUCUCUCGCUCCUGAUUCACCAUUCUCAGGGGCAGCAGUGCAGGGAGCCUGGAAUAUGUAUCUGCCUCCAGAGCACACAGAGGGAAACUCACGGGAAAGAGACAGACUCCAGAAGCUGACUUCAAGAUCGGGGGUCACACCUCCUUAAAAACACAGCAGGUCGUGUGAGUUUCCUGUGCUUUGCUUACUUACCAAAUUAUUUACAGAACCUCCGAUUUCC